This 966-nucleotide long non-coding RNA is filed under the name Gallus gallus (chicken). Lineage: Eukaryota; Metazoa; Chordata; Aves; Galliformes; Phasianidae. The record is from RNAcentral.
CUGAAUACUGUAUUUUGUCUGUUCAUACAGACAAACACUGUUUUGCUCAAGCAAAUAAAAAAUAUAUCCACUAGUAACACCUGAACGGUUUCUCAGAUCCAUAGCUGAAACCCACAGGAAUGUUAAAAUAGUUACAAUUAAGGAAUUAAAAUCUCAGUGAUUUUGAAAACUGCCAGUUAGCCUGCAACACUAAUCCAGAAUCCAGCACUGCUUUGUAACAAUUCAAAAAAGAAAUGAGGUUGCUUGUGAAGGCCAGAGCUUUGGUGACAAUCAGAACCAAAUUUAAAGAUCUGUGGUUUAUCCAGACCUGAGCAGUUGCCCGUGCCUGGCGAUCCUCUUUAUUUGCAAGGCUUUAUGGCUACAGCACAUUCUUCAUUCAUUGCACUUAUGACUGAUAUCUGCACAUCUUCAUUGGCAUUGAACUUUCCUUCUAUUUCUUUUCCCAGAUCACCUUCUGGCAGCUUUAGAUCCUCACGAACUUCGCCACUUUCUGUCAGCAGGGAGAGGUACCCAUCCUGAAUCCCUAUCAGCUGGUAGUCGUUCCUCUUUAUAUUUGGGACAUCCAUGUUAUGAGUUGAUGGGCAAAUAUCUUCGUAUUUUUUCCCGUUGAAGAUAUCAAUACCAACCAGGUGGACCUUGGCGUGGCCGUGCUUUCCCGUCUUGGAGGUGGACAUCUCCACGAUCUUACACGGGCGCCCCUUCAGUACCACGAAGCCGUUCUUACGCAGCGCCGAGCACUGCAUGGGAUAGGUGGACGAGGCGCCGGCGUCGCCCGUCGUGAAGUCCAACUCGUCGGCCAUGGCGGCGGCUGCGGGGCUGCAGAGCGCGGCGGGGUGGCCGAGGGGCGGCCGGGAGGGCGGGCGGGGGCACGGCGCCGCGCACACGCGCCCGACCACUGCGGCGGCCGGCGGGAAGGGGCGGCGGGCGGCGGGCAGCGCGCGCACCACGCCCCGCGCCCCGCCCCCC